CCUCCGGGAGGCAGCAGUGGGGAAUAUUGCACAAUGGGCGCAAGCCUGAUGCAGCCAUGCCGCGUGUGUGAAGAAGGUCUUCGGAUUGUAAAGCACUUUAAGUUGGGAGGAAGGGUUGUAGAUUAAUACUCUGCAAUUUUGACGUUACCGACAGAAUAAGCACCGGCUAACUCUGUGCCAGCAGCCGCGGUAAUACAGAGGGUGCAAGCGUUAAUCGGAAUUACUGGGCGUAAAGCGCGCGUAGGUGGUUUUUUAAGUUGGAUGUGAAUGCCCCGGGCUCAACUCGGGAACUGCAUUAAAAACUUACUGACUAGAGUGUGGUAGAGGGUUGUGGAAUUUCCUGUGUGGCGGUGAAAUGCGUAGAUAUAGGAAGGAACACCAGUGGCGAAGGCGACCACCUGGACUAAUACUGACACGGAGGUGCGAAAGCGUGGGGAGCAAACAGGAUUAGAUACCCCUGUAGUC
RNAcentral lists this ribosomal RNA (465 nucleotides) under uncultured Azomonas sp. Its description in RNAcentral is "bacterial SSU rRNA". It matches the Rfam family "Bacterial small subunit ribosomal RNA", at positions 338 to 795 of the family's 1533-position model. The record is from RNAcentral. Lineage: Bacteria; Pseudomonadati; Pseudomonadota; Gammaproteobacteria; Pseudomonadales; Pseudomonadaceae.